GAGUUCAUUAACUCCUAAAUUGGUACAACCUCUAGUGUGCCUUCAAGAUUGGCUUCGGAGUGAGUCACAACCCAUAAGUAUUGAUGAAGAUUUAGAUUUUCUUGAGCAACUUGAAGAAGAUUUGGCUAAACUUGGAAAAGAACUUUGCAUUGAUGACAUGUAAAAUUGGAGGUUUCCUUCACUAACUCUACUAAAGGAGAAGGAAGAUUUCAUCAUGCCUCAACUUCAUGGUUCUAAUGUUCGAUCACCUGUUUGGAAUCACUAUGAAAAGCUUAAAGAA
This is a long non-coding RNA of Solanum tuberosum (potato), 280 nucleotides long. RefSeq lists it as uncharacterized. The record is from RefSeq and is a predicted model, not a curated record. The transcript is spliced from 3 exons. NCBI's taxonomy places the organism in Eukaryota, Viridiplantae, Streptophyta, Magnoliopsida, Solanales, Solanaceae.